Long non-coding RNA from Cervus elaphus (red deer), 1363 nucleotides. RefSeq lists it as uncharacterized. The transcript is spliced from 4 exons. The record is from RefSeq and is a predicted model, not a curated record. Lineage: Eukaryota; Metazoa; Chordata; Mammalia; Artiodactyla; Cervidae.
GUCCGCGCCUGUGCUGAGUCCGCGGGGCCCGGGGCCCCUUCGAACCGCUCUGGGCGGGGCGAGAGGCGAAGGCGGCCCUGGCCGGCGCUCGCUGGUUGGGUUAGUGGCUCAGGCCUAGUGGGGACCCGCACCCCACGUUUGGGGCCUCCGCAAUAUGCGGACGCCACGUCGGCGUUGUCACUGACCGGACCGGAACCCAGGCUUGAGAAGCGCGAGUUGUGGAGCCAGCAGGAAAAAUGUCUUUGAGGAGUUGACGUUGGAAUUGAAGUCAAGAGAAUGAGGAGAUAGCAUUGGGAAAAGGAAGGCAGAGACAUUCCAAAUCAAGAACAGCUUGCACCAAGGUCCUGAGAAAGGGAUAGAGUCACCAAAAUUUGGCAAGCUAUAAACCCAUCCAUGAGAAAGACUACAUUCUCCCAGCCACUCUUACAGAUUUCCUACGUUGAAAACACAUUAUUUUAAAAGUAAGUAUGCUUUAAAGAUUAUUACAGAGAAAAUCCCUACUGAGUGGCACUUGGCACAGUGGAACUGCAAAAACUCUGCUCUCAAGAAACACGGAGGUGAGUCCUGAAGCUGGGCCAGCCUGGUCAACCUUCCACCUGGAAGGAAGAAGGCAGGAGCUCCAAGGGCACUAACAAAGUCAAACAACGCACCUAGCAACAUCAGAGCGAGCCAGCCAGGCUUAGGGAGCCUGUGAGCACCAGCUGAGUCACUGCCAGGCAAGAGGAGGCUGGCAGGGGAGCCGGGCCCUGCCCUGGGGGCUGAGAGGCAGAGAUAGCAAGAGAAGGAAUCCUAGGAGUCCAGAGUGGGGAGAGGCUGAAGGAUCCUAAGGAAGUGGCCUGCCCAAGUGCAAGGGUACUGGAAGGGAUCUUUGGGAACCAUCUGCAAGGAGGAGCUAUGGGCAAGGGAAGGGCGGCGUCUCUGCUGCAGGAGAGAUUCAUUUCCUCUGUACCACAUACUAGCUGUGUAUCUUUGGCUGCGUUAUUUCAUACGCCCAUUCUCUUACAUGUAGAUGAGAACAAAAAUACCGACUACCCCAGACUGACUGCAGAGAGGACAUGAGAUCAUGUAGAGGAGCACCUGGCACAAGGUAGGUACUCAAUGGCAGUCCCCGUCACUAAGACACGCUGAUACAUUUACCGGAAAGUUAGCAAACAGGUUUAUGUUAUACCAGACACCAGAUCAUGCUCGAUUCUCAGAUAAGCAAUUGCAGAUACCAAGGUUAAAAAGAAAAAGACAUGAAAUACAGCUUAAAAUUGAAUGCUUUCUGGAGAAAUAUUGUCUGAUAUCCCUUAUGUGGAAUCUAAAAAGAAACGAUACAAAGGAACUUACUUACCAAACAGAAAGAGACUCACAGACUUAGAGA